AAGGUAUAAUAGCUGCCCCCCCAUGGGGGCUUCACAGCGCUUUGAGCUUCUCCACCGUCCGAUUUUUACUGUGCGUGGCCAGCAUUCGAUCUCAGCCGACCAUUUCUGGCAGUGUAGCACCUCCUGGCUGGCUAGCGAAAUCCAUGCAAUAGCCGUUAUCUACCCCGUCUGGCUGCGUUUGGGUCCCACGGUCGGUCGGGUCCGCCCGUCAAUCACCGUGAGUCGUUUCUGGGUCGCGCUCGCCUCGCGCCGGACGGGAAAAAUAUCUCUUCGCGCGAACCCUACCUCACCCAAUCGACUCGCACCCAGCUCUUCCCCAAUCCCCUCUCGUGCGUCUGGCGGCGCCGCUCCGCCUCCCUGGUUGCCCACCGCACGGCGCACACCAAGCAGCCCGCCUCGGCAUCAUCGCGUUCCUACCCCGCUCGCCGCCUUGCCCAUCCGCUUCCUGCCGCCGCCGCUGCUUGAUUGGAUCGCUGUCCGUGAAGUGGGGGGAGCGGAGAUUUGAUUUGGGGUUGGGGGUUUGUGAGGAUGGGGGCGCCGUCGCGGCCGGAGGAGGUGGUGGCGCUGGUCAAGCUGCGCGUGGCGGCGGGGCAGAUCAAGCGCCAGAUCCCGCCCGAGGAGCACUGGGCCUUCUGCUACGACAUGCUGCAGAAGGUCUCCCGCAGCUUCGCGCUCGUCAUCCAGCAGCUCGGACCAGAACUACGCAAUGCCGUAAGCACUCCCCCUCUCUUCCCCCCUUCCCCACCCCAACCCGGCAAACAAAUUCGCUCCGAUUCGAGAGCCCCCGUGUUGCUCUGCCUCCCUUGACGGCCGACGGCCAGCAGGAGUAGCGCACCGCCGGCGCAAGCAGGAGGGGCUGCUGGAGCUCCGCCCUUGAUGGUGAUGGUGGACUCGAGCUCGCGCCGGCGACCUCCACAAGAGCAGCGCGGGCGACCUCCACAGCGGCAGCGCGGGCGACCUCCUCGGCCGCGUUUCUGGAGGUAGAGGACGGCGGAGCUCCACCACUUCGCCCGCAGGCUGCUGCCGCACGACAUAUAACGGCUCACCAGCCCAAGGCCGAUCGUGCCUCUUCCGUCCAAAUCAGGGAGGAAGAGGACUCACAUAGGGGUAUGGAUUUGGGGAAGAAGAAGAGGAGGAUGCCAACCAUCUGGUGCGGAUCUCUUCCAGUGGCCAGCCUCCUCUGCCUCUACUUUUCAGGCUGUUGGGAACUCCUACUGAGGAAAAUUGGCCUGGAGUGACUCAUCUGAGGGACUGGCAUGAGUAUCCAGGGUGGAAAUCACAGAAAUUGACUCGUGUGGUCCCGACUCUGGAACCGAAAGGUUGUUCGAUGAAAAGACAUUGGUGUUGCGGCAUUGUUGUUAUAGUGGUCAACAACAACCUCUAGCUAAGGCAAGAAGGGUUUGAGUGGCAUCUCAGCUCCCUCAGAAUAUUGUGAAUGUAAUGGAUUGAAUAUUGUGUGCAUCAGAAACAGAAACCGAAUAUUGUAGGCAAGAAGGGUUUGGGUGGUGCUUGUCUUGCAGGUUAUGGUGGUUCCAUUAGAGUGUGGUAAAUGUCCUAUAUGUAGUCAAGCCGAAGUGGUUGUUGCCCCAGCGAUAUGCUCUAGGAGAUAAUAUCUUUUAGAUUCCAUGUGCUCUGAGAAGAAUGCAAUAUAUUUUGCCACUAACGAGUUGACAAGCAAAAAGCUGCUGAGAAAUAAGCUUUGAUUCAAUAUACGAAUUCUCGGUUUUAAACUGGAAAUGUGAUGCGUUUCACUGAUCGCUGGCUUGUUGCUCUUCCCGGCCAGAUGUUAAUCCCGUGCACAUGAUUGAAAAAUCAGAAGUUGAUGCAGAGAGUUUUCUUGCUGAAAAAUGCCCAAUCUACUAUACCUUGAGAAGCAACAUUAUUUAUGGGCCCCAAAUGAUGUCCUGUAGCAAAAUCUCAGCAUAUUUCCAUAUUUUCCUACUCAGGACCAUAGGUUAUACUUGUCUCAAUAAAAAAAAUUGGAGCUGAAUAAUACAAUUAUAGUUCUACAAUCGAUUACAUUCUCAUUUCUGGUGCAUGUUUCUACCAACACUUUUUUUUCUCUGGAAGACCAUAGAAUUUUCCAUUGCCAUGUGGAGGAUUGUAAGAUAAUAAAUCAUUUCAAAAGUAGAUGGGAUUUGGAAAAUAUAGGUAAGGAAGGGUCAAAACAUUAUUCUAUCGAGAGCAAAAUAGAUAAAAUAAAAGAUUUGCUUACUGUUACAUUGUCAACAUGUGGACAGAAGGGAGUAGUAGUAGGCUAGAAGACUCCAACCAUAUUCCGGUAUAUAUUAUAUUAAGUUAAAUACCUGAAUAUUCAGUCUGUAAUAUUCGGUCAUCGGCUGCAAGUUUCCUCUCCAGAGAUCCGUGGACGGCAACAGAGGAUAUGUGCGCUAUGUUACGGAAACAGGUUAUUAUACUGUCAUUCUACUAACUAGCCAGUUGAACUACUAUAUGACUUAGUUUCCCAUCAGAUGCAUGCUUGUUACUCCUGUAUUUUGUUACCUGUAAACACUCUUUAGUUAUUUUACUGUACAGGCAACUGCCACAGUCUUAAUUUCUAUCCUUGUAUUUUAACAACAAGUUUCUGUACUUCAUAAUAUUCGCAUAGAGGAAUUAUCUCCUUGGUUGGGUAUACUGUUACUGAACUUACUACAUAACCGCACUUCAAGAUUUUUUAUGAUUUGCUCUGCCUCAAUCUUUGCUCGAGUGGCGCUAUCUUUUCUCUUCUCUCUACCUGUCAAUGUGCUCCAUUUCUUGUGAUUUUUUUUGUUUCUUCUCCUAUUUUUUUAUGCUGACUCAGUGGCGUUGUUCAGCUUGCAGGCUGGUCACACUCAGCAUGGGAGAGCUGGCCAAAUUUGAUGAAGUAACGAGACUACAACAAUGACUAAAUCGUUUAUUAGCAUUAGAGUAAUAUAUAUUCCUCUAUUUCGGUGAUUGUAUAUAAGUCUUUGCUACUCUGUUCCUGAUUUCGUGUGUUUUAUCCAUUUCAUCCUAUCUCCUAAUUUCAUCAUAACGGCUUUGUUUUGUAAAAUUUAAAAAGCAUAUUAUCAAUGUCUCGCCUGAUUUUUUUGAUGUUGAGUGAUGAGCCAUAAGUUUUUGUCCUUGCUGGAAAAACAAAAAAAGGUAAAUUAAUUGAUAGUAUGUCUUUUGUUUAGUAUGGACUUAGUUCCAGAAUGAUGAUUUGUUCUGUUCACCUGCAGCAUCUUUUAACCUCACUUGAUAAAAAUUGGAGGCUGCAAGUUAUAUAAAAGUGUGCCAUAGUUAUUUGAGAAGAUUUGGUACUCAAAAGGAAUCUGGAAUGGUUCUACUACCACUUUCUAGAUUGAGGUUUUGUUUUCUUUUUGUUGCAAUUAGGAACUUUUGAGUCUUUUCACCGUAACAUGAGAUUUAUGCCACUUUUAAUCAGUGAACCAUGCUCACGGUAGGUGAAAUUGAGUGAUUUUCCUUGCCGAUGGUUUAUUCUGUGUAAUCUAGCUUUUGCUUUUGGUUUAUGGAUAUGAUAAAGUAAGAAAGAUGGAAGAACGGUGGUGCGUAGACCAAAUUGUAAUUAAGACAUAAUUUUGCUGUGUGUGGCCAGGCAUUGAAAAAAACAUCCUACAUGUUAUUAUGAUGUACCAGUUAACAUUGUUUAAGUCUUUGUUGAACAAAAACACUGCCCACCACCAUCACAAACCUGGGUCUAAAAUGAAAAUUAGUAAUACUAAAGCUGAAUUUUAAAAGACAAGUUUGUAUCUUUUCUGGAAUACUCGGCAGUUUUACUCCGGCAGUUUUAGGAAUAGAUCCAGGGACAAGCAAAUGAGUGUUCUGUUUUUUGUUGUUGUACUACCCUAAACAUCUUUAACAUGAUUCAGCAAGCAUGCCCAUGCUAAACUGGAAGGAGGAGUACUAUCUCAUCAGGCUCCUCGGAUCCUCCCAAGAAUAUAGAGUACACACAUCCAAUCUUACGACAAGGAAGCUUUGGCAUGACAACAAUUGGGUUGCUCUUCCAAAGCCUCGAGUCUCUACAAGUGAUCUUUUGCUUCAGGGAUCUUGUGCAUCCUAUCGUCGUCGAGCUCCUCUGCCUCCAUGAUGUCUCCCUUCAUCGUGUGUGGUGGCCAGAAGGUUCGCUUUAGUGGCAGUGAUACAGAGGCAAAUCCACCUGCGCAAUCGUCUCCUACGUCAUGCACGGCAGACGGACGAGGAGGUACCCCUCCUCACUAUUAACUUAUUUUGCAUCAUUGCAUGUAGUGCAUGUGUACAAGUAAUAAUAAAUAAUGGUCAUCCAAUCAUGGACCACUUCAAAUAGCGUAUAUAGGGACUAAAAUAGGAUCACAUUUACACUGUUUCUCAAUUUUUCAAAAGUUUGUCGGAGAAGCAUCAAGAGUGGUGAUUUAACUUGCAUUUCUAUGCAGUAUAAUAUCAUUUAAUGAUUGCACUUUGUUUUACCAGAAUAUUAGUGCGAAUAAUCCUGAUAACUUGCCAUUCUGUUAUAUUACAAGAGUUGCUUUUCUGAAGUCAUUUGUAUUAUACUGGUUGCUUGUUUUAUCAUACUGAUCUUGAUUGAUUUGAAUCGGAUUAUGUGCAUUGAUUAUACCGACUGUGUACGUAUGCACAUAUGUGAUACUGAAUUAAUCAUCGAGUUUUCCGGUAGAUUGACUUCUACUACGUAUAUAUAAUGCCAGUUUUUGUUGAUGUGAUAUUCAUGGUGUAUCUUUACUCAAAACUGUUGUGGGGCGCUCAAAUUGUAGCUAGCUCAUCCAUUUUGCAGCGGACCAUGUGUUUACCAGCAAAAAAAUUUCUUCUUUUGACUAUGUAUUUGUUGGCUAGCUCUUUCUACUACAUAUUUCAACCCAGGUACUUGUGUUAAUUGCGUGACCUUUGUGAGGACAGAUAGAUCAUUCCACCUUGGCCAAGAUGUCGCAACUUAUCUGUUUCAAGGUAUAUAUCUUCGGUAUUAACUACGCAUUUUCCUGUAUUUUGUAUUUGUAUGAAUCUUGAUAUGCCAUAUUGUAGUGGCUAGAUUGGAUUGUGCAGUUCAAGAUUUAUGUUUUUUUUGGCUUUCAACUACCCUCCUCAAAACCUUUAGGGGUGUAUUCAUAUGAGACUGAGUUUGCCAAAGGUGAGCAGUUCUCUGGCUGCUAUGGGUCAGAUGAAGAUGACACAAUCAAUUGGAAACUAUGACUCCCAACUGAUGUUUAUUUGUGUUUGCUGUUUCGUGUUAGGCUACUUGUGAGAAAUAAUUAGCAGCUCUAUUGUGAACUCGACUGGGACCCCUAUUAGCUAUUGUUACCUUAGGACGGUGUAUUUGUACCUGUUGUAAUAUGUUUCCUGUUUUUUCCACUUGUAUCUACCAUGUGCAUUCAACAAAGAAAGAUUUGUAAAUUCCUGGUUAAGUCAUGCUGCUCCCUCAAGAAUUGUCUCU
Lolium perenne is the source of this 5401-nucleotide long non-coding RNA. RefSeq lists it as uncharacterized. The record is from RefSeq and is a predicted model, not a curated record. Lineage: Eukaryota; Viridiplantae; Streptophyta; Magnoliopsida; Poales; Poaceae.